Molecule: ribosomal RNA, 279 nt
Filed under: uncultured bacterium
Lineage: Bacteria
Description: partial 16S ribosomal RNA
Rfam family: Bacterial small subunit ribosomal RNA
Source: RNAcentral
UGCCAGCCGCCGCGGUAAUACGGAGGGUGCGAGCGUUGUUCGGAAUUAUUGGGCGUAAAGCGCGUGUAGGCGGUUCGUUAAGUCUGAUGUGAAAGCCCGGGGCUCAACCCAGGAAGUGCAUUGGAAACUGGCGAACUUGAGUACGGGAGAGGAAAGUGGAAUUCCGAGUGUAGGGGUGAAAUCCGUAGAUAUUGGGAAGAACACCGAUUGCGAAGGCAGCUCUCUGGAACGGUACUGACGCUGAGACGCGAAAGCGUGGGGAGCGAACAGGAUUAGAUA